UCUGGCUGUGCUGUAAUGCAG
This 21-nucleotide microRNA is filed under the name Homo sapiens (human). RNAcentral's name for it is "hsa-miR-6504-5p". Lineage: Eukaryota; Metazoa; Chordata; Mammalia; Primates; Hominidae. The record is from miRBase by way of RNAcentral.